This 723-nucleotide ribosomal RNA is filed under the name Stenotrophomonas sp. YIM234. RNAcentral describes it as "bacterial SSU rRNA". It matches the Rfam family "Bacterial small subunit ribosomal RNA", at positions 67 to 780 of the family's 1533-position model. The record is from RNAcentral. Lineage: Bacteria; Pseudomonadati; Pseudomonadota; Gammaproteobacteria; Lysobacterales; Lysobacteraceae.
CAGCACAGAAAGAGCUUGCUCUUAUGGGUGGCGAGUGGCGGACGGGUGAGGAAUACAUCGGAAUCUACCUUUUCGUGGGGGAUAACGUAGGGAAACUUACGCUAAUACCGCAUACGACCUUCGGGUGAAAGCAGGGGACCUUCGGGCCUUGCGCGGAUAGAUGAGCCGAUGUCGGAUUAGCUAGUUGGCGGGGUAAAGGCCCACCAAGGCGACGAUCCGUAGCUGGUCUGAGAGGAUGAUCAGCCACACUGGAACUGAGACACGGUCCAGACUCCUACGGGAGGCAGCAGUGGGGAAUAUUGGACAAUGGGCGCAAGCCUGAUCCAGCCAUACCGCGUGGGUGAAGAAGGCCUUCGGGUUGUAAAGCCCUUUUGUUGGGAAAGAAAAGCAGUCGGCUAAUACCCGGUUGUUCUGACGGUACCCAAAGAAUAAGCACCGGCUAACUUCGUGCCAGCAGCCGCGGUAAUACGAAGGGUGCAAGCGUUACUCGGAAUUACUGGGCGUAAAGCGUGCGUAGGUGGUUGUUUAAGUCUGUUGUGAAAGCCCUGGGCUCAACCUGGGAAUUGCAGUGGAUACUGGGCGACUAGAGUGUGGUAGAGGGUAGUGGAAUUCCCGGUGUAGCAGUGAAAUGCGUAGAGAUCGGGAGGAACAUCCAUGGCGAAGGCAGCUACCUGGACCAACACUGACACUGAGGCACGAAAGCGUGGGGAGCAAACAGGAUUA